This 262-nucleotide ribosomal RNA is filed under the name uncultured archaeon. RNAcentral describes it as "partial 16S ribosomal RNA". It matches the Rfam family "Archaeal small subunit ribosomal RNA", at positions 748 to 1009 of the family's 1478-position model. The record is from RNAcentral.
UAGCCGUAAACGAUACUCGCUAGGUGUCGGCCACGGUGCGACCGUUGUCGGUGCCGUAGGGAAGCCGUGAAGCGAGCCACCUGGGAAGUACGGCCGCAAGGCUGAAACUUAAAGGAAUUGGCGGGGGAGCACCACAACGGGUGGAGCUUGCGGUUUAAUUGGAUUUCAACGCCGGAAAUCUUACCGGGACCGACAGCAACAUGAAGGCCAGGCUGAAGACUUUGCCGGAUUAGCUGAGAGGAGGUGCAUGGCGUAGUCGUGU